RNAcentral lists this ribosomal RNA (253 nucleotides) under uncultured bacterium. RNAcentral describes it as "partial 16S ribosomal RNA". It matches the Rfam family "Bacterial small subunit ribosomal RNA", at positions 524 to 776 of the family's 1533-position model. The record is from RNAcentral.
UACGUAGGGUGCGAGCGUUAAUCGGAAUUACUGGGCGUAAAGUGUGCGCAGGCGGCGUCGCAAGUCGAGUGUGAAAGCCCCGGGCUUAACUUGGGAAUUGCGCUCGAAACUACGGUGCUGGAGUAUGGCAGAGGAAGGUGGAAUUCUACGCGUAGCGGUGAAAUGCGUAGAGAUGUGGAGGAACACCGAUGGCGAAGGCAGCCUUCUGGGCCAAUACUGACGCUGAGGCGCGAAAGCUAGGGGAGCAAACGGG